RNAcentral lists this long non-coding RNA (1239 nucleotides) under Equus caballus (horse). RNAcentral's name for it is "lncRNA (ENSECAG00000050650.1)". The record is from RNAcentral. Lineage: Eukaryota; Metazoa; Chordata; Mammalia; Perissodactyla; Equidae.
AAGGAACAAAGAAAGAAAACCCCGAAAUUUACAGACAGAAGCUGCAAAGAAAAACGAGAAACAGAUCGGAAAGAGACACAACGGGGGAAGCACCAUAAAAAACAGGGAAGAAAGUGCCAAAAUGGCAAACCUGUAAGAAACAAGCUAUUUGGUCAUCACUGGAACACAGAGACUUCAGAAGAAAAACCCCCACAAGAUCUGGAAAUAGCAUACCUCGUGCCAUGUUUUAGAUCCUUUAUUUAAAUUAUUUGAAGGAAACUUUUUGUAGGGAGUCUAGCCACAUUGACACAAUUGACUUGGGUAAGGCUAAGUCAUCAUAUAGAAUCAUUAUACAUUUUGUCAUUGUCUGGGGACAUAGAGACAAUAGUGCUGACGCCGGAAGUUCACAGCAAUUUGGAAAAGACUAGAGGGGUUCAGGCAUGACCAGCCCUUCUGUGCCUCUUGAGCAUAUAGUUGGUCUCUAAUGACAACAGCUGUUGCCUACCAGGCCUGUCACUGUUUCCAGUUACGACUCUUAGACUUCUAAAGCAUCUGAUACCGUUUUUCCCUCCGACAGAGCUAUGCACUUCCUGAGGUCAGGUGAAUACCUGACCAUCAUUUCUCAUUUACAGGCAUUGACAGUCCAAUUUUUCCAUUUCUCAUAGACUUGCCUUAUCAAAGGGUCCUACAGCCUCUCACGAUGAAAACACAAGAAAAAUAAUAGUUACUGAGCAUUUACUAGGCACUAGGCUCUGUGCUUCAUAGGCUGUUCAUUUACCUUCACACCAGCCUUGUGGCAGUCUUUCUUAUUAGCCCUAUUUCACAGAUGUCAAGACGAAGUCUCAGAGAAGUUAAAUAACUGUCCCAAUGCUAUUACUUCAUGGAUCUGGAGAGCUGACCAGAGGAACUGUAGCGUGCAGACUCUCUCCCACAGCAUGAAAAUGUUCCAUACUGGGAACACCCAGGAUCAUAACACGAGCAAGUGUUCCUCAACGUGAGAAGCUGCAUCAGGAUCUCCCGGGGGUGCCUGUUAAAAACGUAGAUCCCAGAUCCUCAGCAGACUGACUGAAUCAGAACCUCUGGUGGAGCCCUGGAAUCUGAAUUUUAAGAAGUGCCAGGAGAUGACUCCAAUUCUCAUUAAAUUUGGUAACCACCUGAUAGAAACAAACAACAGCAACGAAACCAAGAGACCAAUAGUGUGGUUUUAUGGCUAAUGGUAUAGCAGAGAGUUUUUCUAUUUUUUACAGUUCGGGCAGCUAU